This 247-nucleotide ribosomal RNA is filed under the name uncultured bacterium. Its description in RNAcentral is "partial 16S ribosomal RNA". It matches the Rfam family "Bacterial small subunit ribosomal RNA", at positions 523 to 769 of the family's 1533-position model. The record is from RNAcentral.
AUACAGAGGGUGCAAGCGUUGUUCGGAAUUAUUGGGCGUAAAGGGCGCGUAGGCGGUAAUGUAAGUCAGAUGUGAAAUACUUCGGCUCAACUGAAGAACUGCAUCUGAAACUGCAUAACUAGAGUACAGAAGAGGGAAACGGAAUUCCCGGUGUAGAGGUGAAAUUCGUAGAUAUCGGGAGGAACACCAGUGGCGAAGGCGGUUUCCUGGUCUGAUACUGACGCUGAGGCGCGAAAGUGUGGGGAGC